GUCGAGAAUAAUUCACAAUGGGGGAAACCCUGAUGGUGCAACGCCGCGUGGAGGAUGAAGGUCUUCGGAUUGUAAACUCCUGUCAUCUGGGAGUAAGACCUGACGGUGAAUAGCCGGCAGGGUUGAUAGUACCAGAAGAGGAAGGGACGGCUAACUUCGUGCCAGCAGCCGCGGUAAUACGAAGGUCCCAAGCGUUGUUCGGAAUCACUGGGCGUAAAGGGAGCGUAGGCGGCGUGGUAAGUCAGAUGUGAAAUCCCGGGGCUCAACCCCGGAACUGCAUCCGAUACUGCCAUGCUUGAGGGUUGGAGAGGUAGCUGGAAUUCUCGGUGUAGCAGUGAAAUGCGUGGAUAUCGAGAGGAACACUCGUGGCGAAGGCGAGCUACUGGACAACACCUGACGCUGAGGCUCGAAGGCCAGGGGAGCAAAAGGGAUUAGAUACCCUAGUAGUCC
RNAcentral lists this ribosomal RNA (450 nucleotides) under uncultured bacterium. RNAcentral describes it as "partial 16S ribosomal RNA". It matches the Rfam family "Bacterial small subunit ribosomal RNA", at positions 354 to 796 of the family's 1533-position model. The record is from RNAcentral.